This 869-nucleotide ribosomal RNA is filed under the name uncultured Bacillus sp. RNAcentral describes it as "bacterial SSU rRNA". It matches the Rfam family "Bacterial small subunit ribosomal RNA", at positions 18 to 870 of the family's 1533-position model. Lineage: Bacteria; Bacillati; Bacillota; Bacilli; Caryophanales; Bacillaceae. The record is from RNAcentral.
CAUGGCUCAGGACGAACGCUGGCGGCGUGCUAAUACAUGCAAGUCGAGCGAAUCUGAGGGAGCUUGCUCCCAAAGAUUAGCGGCGGACGGGUGAGUAACACGUGGGUAACCUGCCUGUAAGAUUGGGAUAACUCCGGGAAACCGGAGCUAAUACCGGAUAACAUUUUGAACCGCAUGGUUCAAAAUUGAAAGACGGCUUUGGCUGUCACUUACAGAUGGACCCGCGGCGCAUUAGCUAGUUGGUGAGGUAACGGCUCACCAAGGCAACGAUGCGUAGCCGACCUGAGAGGGUGAUCGGCCACACUGGGACUGAGACACGGCCCAGACUCCUACGGGAGGCAGCAGUAGGGAAUCUUCCGCAAUGGACGAAAGUCUGACGGAGCAACGCCGCGUGAACGAUGAAGGCCUUCGGGUCGUAAAGUUCUGUUGUUAGGGAAGAACAAGUACCAGAGUAACUGCUGGUACCUUGACGGUACCUAACCAGAAAGCCACGGCUAACUACGUGCCAGCAGCCGCGGUAAUACGUAGGUGGCAAGCGUUGUCCGGAAUUAUUGGGCGUAAAGCGCGCGCAGGCGGUUUCUUAAGUCUGAUGUGAAAGCCCACGGCUCAACCGUGGAGGGUCAUUGGAAACUGGGGAACUUGAGUGCAGAAGAGGAGAGUGGAAUUCCACGUGUAGCGGUGAAAUGCGUAGAGAUGUGGAGGAACACCAGUGGCGAAGGCGACUCUCUGGUCUGUAACUGACGCUGAGGCGCGAAAGCGUGGGGAGCGAACAGGAUUAGAUACCCUGGUAGUCCACGCCGUAAACGAUGAGUGCUAAGUGUUAGAGGGUUUCCGCCCUUUAGUGCUGCAGCAAACGCAUUAAGCACUCC